This 497-nucleotide ribosomal RNA is filed under the name uncultured bacterium. RNAcentral describes it as "partial 16S ribosomal RNA". It matches the Rfam family "Bacterial small subunit ribosomal RNA", at positions 28 to 507 of the family's 1533-position model. The record is from RNAcentral.
GAUGAACGCUGGCGGCGUGCCUAAUACAUGCAAGUCGAGCGAACGGACGAGAAGCUUGCUUUUCUGAUGUUAGCGGCGGACGGGUGAGUAACACGUGGAUAACCUACCUAUAAGACUGGGAUAACUUCGGGAAACCGGAGCUAAUACCGGAUAAUAUUUUGAACCGCAUGAUUCAAAAGUGAAAGACGGUCUUGCUGUCACUUAUAGAUGGAUCCGCGCUGCACUAGCUAGUUGGUAAGGUAACGGCUUACCAAGGCAACGAUGCAUAGCCGACCUGAGAGGGUGAUCGGCCACACUGGAACUGAGACACGGUCCAGACUCCUACGGGAGGCAGCAGUAGGGAAUCUUCCGCAAUGGGCGAAAGCCUGACGGAGCAACGCCGCGUGAGUGAUGAAGGUCUUCGGAUCGUAAAACUCUGUUAUUAGGGAAGAACAUAUGUGUAAGUAACUGUGCACAUCUUGACGGUACCUAAUCAGAAAGCCACGGCUAACUACGUG